This 207-nucleotide ribosomal RNA is filed under the name uncultured bacterium. RNAcentral's name for it is "partial 16S ribosomal RNA". It matches the Rfam family "Bacterial small subunit ribosomal RNA", at positions 568 to 774 of the family's 1533-position model. The record is from RNAcentral.
CACGUAGGCGGAUUGCUAAGUCAGGGGUGAAAUCCUGGAGCUCAACUCCAGAACUGCCCUUGAUACUGGCGACCUCGAGUCCGGGAGAGGUGAGUGGAACUGCGAGUGUAGAGGUGAAAUUCGUAGAUAUUCGCAAGAACACCAGUGGCGAAGGCGGCUCACUGGCCCGGUACUGACGCUGAGGUGCGAAAGCGUGGGGAGCAAACA